GAGUAACACGUGGAUAACCUACCUAUAAGACUGGGAUAACUUCGGGAAACCGGAGCUAAUACCGGAUAAUAUUUUGAACCGCAUGGUUCAAAAGUGAAAGACGGUCUUGCUGUCACUUAUAGAUGGAUCCGCGCUGCAUUAGCUAGUUGGUAAGGUAACGGCUUACCAAGGCAACGAUGCAUAGCCGACCUGAGAGGGUGAUCGGCCACACUGGAACUGAGACACGGUCCAGACUCCUACGGGAGGCAGCAGUAGGGAAUCUUCCGCAAUGGGCGAAAGCCUGACGGAGCAACGCCGCGUGAGUGAUGAAGGUCUUCGGAUCGUAAAACUCUGUUAUUAGGGAAGAACAUAUGUGUAAGUAACUGUGCACAUCUUGACGGUACCUAAUCAGAAAGCCACGGCUAACUACGUGCCAGCAGCCGCGGUAAUACGUAGGUGGCAAGCGUUAUCCGGAAUUAUUGGGCGUAAAGCGCGCGUAGGCGGUUUUUUAAGUCUGAUGUGAAAGCCCACGGCUCAACCGUGGAGGGUCAUUGGAAACUGGAAAACUUGAGUGCAGAAGAGGAAAGUGGAAUUCCAUGUGUAGCGGUGAAAUGCGCAGAGAUAUGGAGGAACACCAGUGGCGAAGGCGACUUUCUGGUCUGUAACUGACGCUGAUGUGCGAA
This 662-nucleotide ribosomal RNA is filed under the name Staphylococcus aureus. RNAcentral describes it as "bacterial SSU rRNA". It matches the Rfam family "Bacterial small subunit ribosomal RNA", at positions 108 to 757 of the family's 1533-position model. Lineage: Bacteria; Bacillati; Bacillota; Bacilli; Caryophanales; Staphylococcaceae. The record is from RNAcentral.